Molecule: ribosomal RNA, 1675 nt
Filed under: Escherichia coli UMEA 3889-1
Lineage: Bacteria; Pseudomonadati; Pseudomonadota; Gammaproteobacteria; Enterobacterales; Enterobacteriaceae
Description: bacterial LSU rRNA
Rfam family: Bacterial large subunit ribosomal RNA
Source: RNAcentral
AUGCUGGAGGUAUCAGAAGUGCGAAUGCUGACAUAAGUAACGAUAAAGCGGGUGAAAAGCCCGCUCGCCGGAAGACCAAGGGUUCCUGUCCAACGUUAAUCGGGGCAGGGUGAGUCGACCCCUAAGGCGAGGCCGAAAGGCGUAGUCGAUGGGAAACAGGUUAAUAUUCCUGUACUUGGUGUUACUGCGAAGGGGGGACGGAGAAGGCUAUGUUGGCCGGGCGACGGUUGUCCCGGUUUAAGCGUGUAGGCUGGUUUUCCAGGCAAAUCCGGAAAAUCAAGGCUGAGGCGUGAUGACGAGGCACUACGGUGCUGAAGCAACAAAUGCCCUGCUUCCAGGAAAAGCCUCUAAGCAUCAGGUAACAUCAAAUCGUACCCCAAACCGACACAGGUGGUCAGGUAGAGAAUACCAAGGCGCUUGAGAGAACUCGGGUGAAGGAACUAGGCAAAAUGGUGCCGUAACUUCGGGAGAAGGCACGCUGAUAUGUAGGUGAGGUCCCUCGCGGAUGGAGCUGAAAUCAGUCGAAGAUACCAGCUGGCUGCAACUGUUUAUUAAAAACACAGCACUGUGCAAACACGAAAGUGGACGUAUACGGUGUGACGCCUGCCCGGUGCCGGAAGGUUAAUUGAUGGGGUUAGCGCAAGCGAAGCUCUUGAUCGAAGCCCCGGUAAACGGCGGCCGUAACUAUAACGGUCCUAAGGUAGCGAAAUUCCUUGUCGGGUAAGUUCCGACCUGCACGAAUGGCGUAAUGAUGGCCAGGCUGUCUCCACCCGAGACUCAGUGAAAUUGAACUCGCUGUGAAGAUGCAGUGUACCCGCGGCAAGACGGAAAGACCCCGUGAACCUUUACUAUAGCUUGACACUGAACAUUGAGCCUUGAUGUGUAGGAUAGGUGGGAGGCUUUGAAGUGUGGACGCCAGUCUGCAUGGAGCCGACCUUGAAAUACCACCCUUUAAUGUUUGAUGUUCUAACGUGGACCCGUGAUCCGGGUUGCGGACAGUGUCUGGUGGGUAGUUUGACUGGGGCGGUCUCCUCCUAAAGAGUAACGGAGGAGCACGAAGGUUGGCUAAUCCUGGUCGGACAUCAGGAGGUUAGUGCAAUGGCAUAAGCCAGCUUGACUGCGAGCGUGACGGCGCGAGCAGGUGCGAAAGCAGGUCAUAGUGAUCCGGUGGUUCUGAAUGGAAGGGCCAUCGCUCAACGGAUAAAAGGUACUCCGGGGAUAACAGGCUGAUACCGCCCAAGAGUUCAUAUCGACGGCGGUGUUUGGCACCUCGAUGUCGGCUCAUCACAUCCUGGGGCUGAAGUAGGUCCCAAGGGUAUGGCUGUUCGCCAUUUAAAGUGGUACGCGAGCUGGGUUUAGAACGUCGUGAGACAGUUCGGUCCCUAUCUGCCGUGGGCGCUGGAGAACUGAGGGGGGCUGCUCCUAGUACGAGAGGACCGGAGUGGACGCAUCACUGGUGUUCGGGUUGUCAUGCCAAUGGCACUGCCCGGUAGCUAAAUGCGGAAGAGAUAAGUGCUGAAAGCAUCUAAGCACGAAACUUGCCCCGAGAUGAGUUCUCCCUGACCCUUUAAGGGUCCUGAAGGAACGUUGAAGACGACGACGUUGAUAGGCCGGGUGUGUAAGCGCAGCGAUGCGUUGAGCUAACCGGUACUAAUGAACCGUGAGGCUUAACCUU